GAGAGAGAGAGGGAAAAGAAAGAAAAACAGUAUCCAGAGAAAUAAUUUCUGUGAAUUCCCAAUCCUCAGUUUUCAGUAUUUCACAGUCCAUGUAUUCUGGUAUCCUUUUAUUCUUCUCUCUUCUCAUGGUAAGAGGAGAACAGAAAAGUAACACAUGUCCAGAUAUGUUAUAAAAGAGGAUUAAUAUCAUCAAGAGGGGAGUUUAUUUGUCUUCGUGUAAACAUUCUAUUCUAGAGAAUUAGAAACACACUGGGGAGCAGAUUCCUUCAAAAGACCGUAAGAUCAGUUAUUGAUGCAUUCAUUUUCACCAUUGCAGGAUGCAAAGUUGUCAGAAAAGACAACCUCCUUGAUCUCAAGCCAGCUGGGACACUGCCAGGAUGUGACUGGGAUCCUUUAAGGAGGACAGUUAUGUAUCAAAGGGGUAAAGAAGAAGGGGAGAAGGAGGAGGAGGAGAAAGGGGGAAGGAAGGGAGAGAGGGAUGAAAAAUGCAGGACAGUUCUCUGGGUGGCCUUGGACCAGCCCUAUUGUCCUCCCUUUUCUCAUUUCUGGUUCUUAAGAAUAGCUGUAGAACAUGUUGGGAAUGCAACAUUCUGAGAUAAGGAGGGCUGAUCGGAACAGCCUGAGCUCUGUGCUUGGUGCCCUGCCUUUCUGAUAUGAUAACCUUCAAUGUUUUAGCUGAGCAAAUCUCACUGCCCCAGGGCAUAAAAGCCAGGGUGAGAGGCUUUCUGGGGUCCCUCAGCUGAUAUAAGUCGGGUAUGCAUGGAUGACACUCCAUCUAUCCUGGGCAGAUUCCUUGAGCCUUGGAGACUGGCUCACAAUGUGUCGUAGGCUUCUGUUGUCCCUUGCUGCCUGUCUGUAAGUAGUAAAAGAUCUCUUCAUGCAGCUUGUUGUAUGCAUGAGUGUUUUUCUCUCACUGGACUCAGACAAGUUGGUGAUCAGUGCACAGUGAACCUGCUUCACAACAGUGGAGAAGGAAUUCCAGAUUGUGACCGAAUUGCAGAUGAUGGGCUCGGGUUGCUCCCAGAUAAGAUGUGUUCUUCCAGGCCCUUGGUCCCUCACUCACCCAAGAAUAGGGGAGAGGACCCAGCCGAGCAUGGGUUUUGCUCUGUGGCCCAGGCUGGAGUGCAGUGGCACAAACAGAGCUCAUUGCUGUCUAUCUUCUGGGCUCGAGGGAUCUUCCCUCCUCAGUCUUCUAAGUAGCUAGGACUACAGGUAUGUACCACUACACCCAGAUAAUUUUUUAAAAAUUGUUUUGUAGACAUGAGGUCUCCCUUUGUUGCUCAGGUUGGUCUUGAACUCCUGGGCCUAAGGUAUCCUCCCGCCUUGGCCGUCCAAAGUGCUGGAAUUAGAAGCAUGAGCUUUUAAAUAAAAAUUUAUUUAUUUUUAGCAUUUAUUUUAAAAUAGGCUCUAUAUGUUUGUGACUGUUUAAAAAUAAAUGCUAAAAACAAAUAAAUAAACAGAAAAGGAAGUCUUUGUCUUUUACGAGUGUCCUCUUAUCUCUGCUGUCCUCUUAUAUCUUUACUAUAGUUAUUUCUAUAAAUUUAUCAUCUACUCUACCAAAUGUCUGUAACUGUACACAUUAGAAGGAUUCAAACAUACCCAUCCUCCAUAAUGCCUAGCAUCAUGCUAAAUAUGUAAUAAGUAAUCAAUAAAUAUUGAAAAAUUAAGUGAUAAUAUAUAUUAAAUUUUGGCUUAUUCUUGCUCUUGCUUGCAUUAAUAUUUCUCUUAUUAUGAUAGGUUUUGAAGAAUAUAGGAGUUUAACAUCAAAUAAGUACAUUUUGUUUCAUAGUUUAAUAGUCUGAAAAAUUUGAUUAUUUUCACAGAUGCAGGUAGAAUAUUAAUUUUAUGAGAAAUUUCUUAAAGGAUGAAGCAUUCUACAAAGUAUAUUUUAUCAAUGACUAUGGGUGUGUAUUAAAGUUUUUUGAUAUUUGAUUUAUUAAAACCUAGUGACAUUUAUUCAUCUAGGAGUAAAAUAAUAAGGAUAUACCUGAAGCAAAAAGAACACCACUAACUUUUAAAAUCAAGACAAAAUGUACAGUAAACGCAAUCAGGUAUAUGCAUGUUAUAAGUAGGAUUGGCACAGAGCUGAUGAAUAAAAAAAUGUGGUUUCAGAAGAAAUUACCCAAAAGACGGAUUAUUGGACAUGUGUAGAAUGAAAAUUUCCAGUCUCACUUGACAAUGGUGCUUUUAGGCUCAAUGUACUCUUUUAGUAUCAUGCAGCCAAAAACUCACUUGGAGCUUUAACCAGGGAUUGUAAGCAGAUGAACAGGUUAAGUUACAUUCUACCUAGACCUGCAGGAUAGAUCAAAUGUUCGAUCCACAUACUUGGAAGUUGGUCCUAAGAAAAGAUAUCCUAUGUGAGUCCAACUUGUGGAAAACCAGGACACCAAUACUAGGAAGUAAAAUAGCAGAGACCUGUGGAUGUUGGGACAACUACAGAUGGAGGAGGCGAGGAUGAAAGGGUUUAGGGCAGAAUUAAGCCACUGAGCUCUCAGUGGAAUAUCUAAAAGGGAAUUCUUUUAAGGUCUAGGAGCACCUCCUAAGGUGUCAUAACCAUCACUCAGCUGUAGUAACUCAAUAUGCCUUUCCUAGAUUAUGCCUUGACUGAGGAAAUUUUCCCUUGGUUUACUACUCUUAUAAAUUCUGAUGACAUUUCACUCUAAGCACCUAAUUACUCAGUCAUAUUUUCCUCUCUAGUUCCUACUUCUAUAGACAGACUUCUUACUCAUACCUUGAAGUCCUGUUCCUCUGCUACUCCAUAUCGUGGUCUCUUUUCUGUUUAGUCAAUACUCACAUGUACCUAACACUACAGACAGAUCCUCCUUUUCAAUUCCACUUUAGUUUUUAUAUUUUCUUAAAAUAUAAAAUAGUUUUUCAUAAAAACUACAUAAUGUUUAACCUGUCUGGUAACAGCCUAUGCCUGAAUGUAGUAAAGAUUUGUUUCUGUGCAUGUCCCAAUAGCCUUAUCUAUUGCCAAUCUACAUUCUUGAAUCUUCAUUUUAAGUAAAAGCACAUCCAGCAGAUAUUGACUCAACCUUGGUCUUAUUUUUUUUAGCUUGGUGUAAUGAGAUUACAAGGCAAGGGGCUUAAUUAUAGAAUAAAGAAAAGAAAAUGAAAAAAAUUUUGUGACUGGGAAAAAUGAGAUAGAAAUAAGGCUUGUGGGAUCUGAAAGACCCACUUAUACCCAAUUGGCGCUAUCUUUUAAUUACUUCCCAAUAAUCUCAGCAAAACAGAUUGGGUUCCCUAAAUCAUGGGCCUUUGUUAUAGAAAUACUCUGCUAAGAAAUGCUAAUAUAACUUCAGGCAAUUAUAUAUUGUUUAUAAGGGAGAAAUUUCUAGUUAUACAUAUAGCAUGGUGACUGAUUAUAUAUAGUAUGUGUAUGCUAUAAGAUGGAUUUACUAUUAUUUUAGUACAUUCAAUUUAAACAAGUUAAGCAAACAUUUGUUCCUUUUGCUCAAUAUAAUAGUAACAAUGGCUCUAUGAAGGAAUAUGUCCAGCAGUGUAUGUUAUUUUUGGCAUAAUAUGUUGCUUUCUUCUGUAUAGUAUGCUCUAUGUAGUUGGGAUUAGUGUCAACUAAUACAACAGAAACAAAACAAAACAACAGUAGCCUAAACAAUAUGGAUAUUUAAUUAUCUCUCAUGAUCAUAUUCUAGAGGUAUUUGUUCCAGGACUCAUAUAGUGGCUUCUUGACAUCAUCAGGGGCUUGGGCUUAUUUUGGGUUCCACAAACUUAGCAGGUGGUUUCUACCAUGAGAUGCUACAGCUCCAGCCAUUAUGCCCACAUUCCAGGAUAAGAAGAAAAGGUAGCAAAGGACGUUGGUUCAUUUCCCUCCUCAUUUUGAAGGAGCUCAAUGACAAAAUGGGCAUGUUAAUAUGACCAGACUAAGCUCCAAGGGAGGAAAGAAAAUAUAGUUCUUUUAGUGGGUGGCAAGUGCACAGUUAAAAAUUGUAGUUCUAAUAAUGAGAAAUAAGGAGAAAAUGGAUUUUGAGAGGUAAAUAAAAAUCUCAUUGUAGGCCUUCCCUAAUUCACUGUUUUUCAUUUUAUAUGUCACAGUGGGAAGCUACUGUUACAGUACCUUGUUAUAAUUUAAUUUUAGAGGCAUUCCCAUAUUGUGUAAGGACCUGGGGAUUUAAAUAAGAUAUUGCUCCUAUGUAUGGAGUGCUUAUAUGUACUAGAAAAAUAAAGAGAUAAACAAUUUUGGGAUGAUGUGAUAAACCCAUUGACAGAGGUUCAACUGGCUGUCUAAGCACUUGCUCAUUAAUUGAUUUAUUUGUAUAAAAAAACUUACAAUGAUGUACAUUUGAAUUUUAUUUUCUUGCAAGUUAUCCUUCUUUAAAAGAAUAAAACUACAUAAAAGGUACAUUUUUGGUGUCUUUAUCCAUCAUUAUUUUAAAACAGGUAUUUUCAAAUUGUCAAAACAAAUAUGAUAAUUUAGUUAUCAAGCAUGAAAAAGAAAUUUAAAUAGCCACCAUUAUUCUGUGCAACCAAUCACAAGUAAAUUUGAUUUUUCAAAAAUAAUUUGGCACAUGCAUAAUCAGAGAAAUGGUACAGAGAACAGAAAAGGUCUCUCUAAUUUUCCCAGUAAAAUGUGUAGACAAACAAUAGCACAUGGAUAAACUCUUGUUUUAAACAAAAGAAGUUUCUUAUUAUUGUGGGUAGUAUCCUACCAAUGAAUGAUUUAUAAAGUGGAAUUUGUUUCUUCAAAUUCUUUUGAGGAUCAAUUUCUUCUAAAAAUUAAAGUUUUAAAGAAUACAGAGAUGUAUAGAUUAAUUCUUGUAACAUUCUCUUGGCAUUUUCAAGAUUCAUUUAUUAUUGAGGAUCAUAGGUAUUGUUUUUCAUACACUUGAUUGAAGAAAUGCCUUUUCAGACCUCUCUCGGCAAGUGUCAGAGUAAUUCAUGUCUUAGAUAAUCAACAGUUAUUUACAGUUUCAAUUAUAAAUGAUUAAGUGUCCUGUUCCCAAGAGUUUGUUAAACAGUGAAAUAACCCCUUCAUUUUAGCAUUCACACCCAAUAAUGUGAAGAUAAUGUUAUGCAUUUACUUAUAUUUGGCAUGCUGAUGUUUUCUUGGGAAAAAUACUAGUUUCAACUCUUUGUGACUGCAUAUACUUUUUUCAAGCCUCGUUAAAAUAUGAUUUAAGGUCACAGAUAUCAUCACAAAGAUUAUUAUACAACACUGAUACUAUGUCAAGCAAGCAAUCAGGAUUUGACUUAAUCAGAUAAUUUAACAUGAACACCUCUUGUUACUUACUUAUAUCCAAACUGGAGUAAAUAUUGUGACUAGAAGUUUUUUCCUGCAUGUGUUACUGUUUAAAAGAGAGUCAUGAUUCUAAAAAGUGAAGACACUCACAGUGUAGCUUUUAUUAUUCAAAUAUUCUGUCUAUUUUGGAAAUCAGAAAAAAUGUAAAGUAGAAGAAAAAUCAUAUAUACACCAUGAUAGUUUCUUUUUUCUAAAGUAAGGUGUUUUAGACUAUUUCAUAAAAUAAACAAAGUACUAAAUUAUGGAAAUUAUAAAAAGAAUAGAAAAUUGGAAAAAUUCAUAGUCUUAUUAAUAAUUAAUUUUUUUUUUGAGAUGGAGUUUCACUCUUGUUGCCCAGGCUGGAGUGCAAUGGUAUAAUCUUGGUUCACUGCGACCUCCACUUCCCAGGUUCAAGAGAUUCUCCUGCCUCCGCCUCCCAAGUAGCUGGGAUUACAGGCCUGCAACACCACACCUGGCUAAUUUUGUAUUUUUAGUGGAGAAGGAGUUCACCAUGUUGGCCAGGCUAGUUUUGAACUCCUAAUUUCAGGUGAUCCACCCACCUUGGCCUCCCAAAUUGCUGGGAUUAAAGGCUGCCAUGCCUGGUCAAUAAUUAUUUAAAAUAUAAAUCUUAAAAUGUAAUUCUUGAUUUAAGAAUAAAAUUUUUUUGUUUCUUGAAUUAAUCAUUUUUCUCCUACUAACACAUUAUAAUAAUUAUUUUCCUUUUUUAAAAAAAACUUUUCUGAAAAAAUAUAUAUAUACUAAAAUAAACAAAAAUAUAUGUGAAUUAUUAUGAAGUAAAUAUGCCUGGGUAUCUGCACUGAGGUCAAGAAAUAGAACAUUAUCAACACUCAGAAGACUGCCUCAUGAGUCAUCAAAUCAGUAUUCUCUCCCUUUGUCCACGAGAUAACCACUGUUCUGACUUCUCAGAUUAUAAUAUAAUUUUGUCUAUGUUUAAAUUGUAUGUUAACAUAAUCCUAUAGUACUCUUUGUGUCUGGCUUCCUUGCCUCAAUAUUACCUGUAGAAGAUUAACCCAUGUUGUUCUGAUGUACCCAGAGGCCAUUCAUUUUCACUGUUUUGUAGUAACCCAAUGUCUGAUUAAAACAAUCAGUGAAAAUUCUAGGCCAUUUUCUUUUCAAGCAUUACUUCUGCCCUGUGACCUCUCUUUUCUCCAGUUGCACAUAUAAAAGACCCUUUUACCUCUUUACUGUAUCCUGUAUGUUUUCUAUACUCUUUUCUAGAUGCUCUAUUCAUUUGUCCCUCCAUGCUUUAGGUUGCUUAUUUUCUUUUUUCUUAUCUUCUAGUUUACUAAUUCUUUCUUUAGUCAUGUCCAAUUUGCUGUUGAAAAUCUAUCCAUUAAGUUUUCUUUUUUGACUAGUGCACCUUUUAGAGUUCCUAAA
Non-coding RNA from Callithrix jacchus (white-tufted-ear marmoset), 6634 nucleotides. The record is from RefSeq and is a predicted model, not a curated record. NCBI's taxonomy places the organism in Eukaryota, Metazoa, Chordata, Mammalia, Primates, Cebidae.